UUCCGGUUGAUCCUGCCGGAGGCUACCGCUAUUGGAGUCCGAUUAAGACAUGCGAGUCGAGAGCUUUCGGAGCUCGGCAUACUGCUCAGUAACACGUGGGUAACCUGCCCUAUGCUGGGGGAUAACCUCGGGAAACUGAGAACAAUACCCCAUAGUCCACUACGCCUGGAACGGUGAGUGGAUGAAAGCCCCGGCGGCAUAGGAUGGGCCUGCGGCGUAUCAGGUUGUAGGGGGUGUAACGUACCCUCUAGCCAUCGACGCGUACGGGUGUUGGGAGACAUAGCCCGGAGAUGGAUUCUGAGACACGAAUCCAGACCCUACGGGGUGCAGCAGGCGCGAAAACUUGGCAAUGCGAGAAAUCGUGACCAGGGAACUCCAAGUGGCUGGGGUAAGACCCAGUCUUUUCUUGACUCUUCAAAGGUCUUGGAAUAAGGGGUGGGUAAGGACGGUGCCAGCCGCCGCGGUAAUACCGGCGCCUCAAGUGGUAGUCGAUUUUAUUGGGCCUAAAACGUCCGUCGCCUGUUUGGUACAUUCGUGGGUAAAUCAACCAGCUCAACUGGUUGAAUUCUGCGAGCACGGCCAGACUUGGGACCGGGAGAGGUGUGGGGUACGCUCAGGGUAGGGGUAAAAUCCUGUCAUCCUGAGCGGACCACCUGUUGCGAAGGCUCCACACUAGAACGGAUCCGACGGUCAGGGACGAAGCCUAGGGGCACGAACCGGAUUAGAUACCCGGGUAGUCCUAGGUGUAAACGCUGUGGACUUGAUGUUGGGAGUGCUCCGAGCACCCUCAGUGUCGAAGCGAAGGUGAUAAGUCCACUGCCUGGGGAGUACGGUCGCAAGGCUGAAACUUAAAGGAAUUGGCGGGGGAGCACUGCAACCUGAGGAUUGUGCGGUUUAAUUGGAUUCAACGCCGGG
Molecule: ribosomal RNA, 915 nt
Filed under: uncultured archaeon
Lineage: Archaea
Description: bacterial SSU rRNA
Rfam family: Archaeal small subunit ribosomal RNA
Source: RNAcentral